GACGAACGCUGGCGGCGUGCUUAACACAUGCAAGUCGAACGAUGAACCAGGGCUUGCCCUGGGGAUUAGUGGCGAACGGGUGAGUAACACGUGGGCAACCUGCCCCAGACACCGGGAUAACCUCUCGAAAGGGUGGCUAAUACCGGAUAUGACCACUUCGGGCAUCCGACGGUGGUGGAAAGGAUUCUGGUCUGGGAUGGGCCCGCGGCCUAUCAGCUAGUUGGUGGGGUAAUGGCCUACCAAGGCGACGACGGGUAGCCGGCCUGAGAGGGCGACCGGCCACACUGGGACUGAGACACGGCCCAGACUCCUACGGGAGGCAGCAGUGGGGAAUAUUGCGCAAUGGGCGAAAGCCUGACGCAGCGACGCCGCGUGAGGGACGAAGGGUCUUCGGAUUGUAAACCUCUUUCAGCAGGGACGAAGCGAAAGUGACUGUACCUGCAGAAGAAGCACCGGCUAACUACGUGCCAGCAGCCGCGGUAAU
Molecule: ribosomal RNA, 484 nt
Filed under: uncultured bacterium
Lineage: Bacteria
Description: bacterial SSU rRNA
Rfam family: Bacterial small subunit ribosomal RNA
Source: RNAcentral